GUUGGAUCAAGUACCCUUAGGUUUCACUCUCACAACUCCUCAUGCCUAUCUUCCCGAACCCCUCUCACGCCCUCUCCUUCCAACUCCUCCUCUCAUGUCCUCUCCAUCCAACUCCUCUCCAGCAAACCCCUCUCCGGCGAACUCCUCUCCACGAACCUCCUCUCCUCUAAAUUCCUUCACCUCUUCGUCAAAUAGCAAAUGCCCUAAUCACUCUGCUCUUGGAUCGCUGCCUCCGCACUAGAUCUACUCGCCGGUGGUUUCCUCUGCAGAAAUGGCAAAUGCUUGGAUUUCAAGAGCAUCAAAGUAUCGGAGUUCAGUUUGGAAGGUUAGCGACAAACGGCCAGGUUAUAAUGCCAGUGACUCAGAUUCUGAUGAGGAGAAGAUUAACAUCAAAUCAUCAGCAGAAGGACCUGGUUCAUAAGUCUCAUCUUGGUGUUGUUUCUCCGAAAUUUAAAAAGAAACAAGCUAGAUCAUCACAGAAGUUAACUACCAAACUCCACAGUUCUUUGGAAGACCCCAACACAAAUGAUUUGGAGGAUGAUCUACCCGUAGAUAAUGCUUCAAAGCAAUUGGUGCUUCAUAAUGAGGCUUCUAGUACACAUUAGAUACAAGUGAGAAGUAGUAAAGACUCCUCGACAACAAGAUGUCAAACAAUGUGGUUAUUAUGUGAUGCGAUUUAUGAGACAAAUUGUUGAAGAAGUUAAAAUUAUCGAGAGAGAUUCACUACGAUCUAUAUUUACAGAAGCGGAGUAUUCUCGAGAAGAAAUUGAUGAGGUGCGAUCGAAGUUGGCAGAAUGUAUACAAGAUCAUAUUUAUGAGUAGGUCAAACAAAAUAUGACUGACAGAACUCAUCAACUUCUAGAUGCUCGAUCAAAGGGCAGAUACACAGUGGUAGGUGUUUUGUCCCAGUCUCAAGCCGUCAAUCCAUUUUGAUCAAUAUAUCUAGUAGAAAUAAGCAUGCAGAUCGUUAUCUUCGAGGCUGGCUAGCUAUUUUGUAUUUUUUUUAUUUUAAAUUUGAAUGCCACUAACUACUUUGAAACAGAAAUAUUUAGUCUUUGUGUAUAGUUGAAUUCUCCUGUAAAUACUAAUACUUUAU
Molecule: long non-coding RNA, 1096 nt
Organism: Zingiber officinale
Lineage: Eukaryota; Viridiplantae; Streptophyta; Magnoliopsida; Zingiberales; Zingiberaceae
Exons: 8
Source: RefSeq, a predicted model, not a curated record